RNAcentral lists this small RNA (106 nucleotides) under Plasmodium chabaudi chabaudi. RNAcentral's name for it is "sRNA PCHAS_102034". The record is from RNAcentral. Lineage: Eukaryota; Apicomplexa; Aconoidasida; Haemosporida; Plasmodiidae.
AAAAAAAAAAAACACACACAUUGUGAUGUUUUUGCUAUCUUUUCGUCUUUUGCAAAUGAUGAAUAAAAAAAAUAAUUUAACUUUCGUUCUUCUGUAUGUUGAAGAU